UACGGAAGGCAGCAGUGGGGAAUAUUGCACAAUGGGCGAAAGCCUGAUGCAGCUAUGCCGCGUGUAUGAAGAAGGCCUUAGGGUUGUAAAGUACUUUCAUCGGGGAGGAAAAACAAAACUAAUAAUUUUAUUUCUUGACGUUACCCGAAAAAGAAGCACCGGCUAACUCCGUGCCAGCAGCCGCGGUAAUACGGAGGGUGCUAGCGUUAAUCAGAAUUACUGGGCGUAAAGAGCACGUAGGUGGUUUUUUUAAGUCAGAUGUGAAAUCCCUGGGCUUAACCUGGAACUGCAUUUUGAAACUGAAAUACUAGAGUAUCGUAGAGGGAGGUAGAAUUCUAGGUGUAGCGGUGAAAUGCGUAGAUAUCUGGAGGAAUACCUGUGGUGAAAGCGGCCUCCUAAACGAAUACUGACACUGAGGUGCGAAAGCGUGGGGAGCAAACAGGGAUUAGAUACC
Molecule: ribosomal RNA, 454 nt
Filed under: uncultured bacterium
Lineage: Bacteria
Description: bacterial SSU rRNA
Rfam family: Bacterial small subunit ribosomal RNA
Source: RNAcentral